This is a long non-coding RNA of Solea senegalensis (Senegalese sole), 120 nucleotides long. RefSeq lists it as uncharacterized. Lineage: Eukaryota; Metazoa; Chordata; Actinopteri; Pleuronectiformes; Soleidae. The record is from RefSeq and is a predicted model, not a curated record. The transcript has 3 exons.
GGUCACUCCUCCUGUAUGGGGUCUGGGUCUGCAACUGUGGUCACUCCUCCUGUAUGGGGUCAGGGUCUGUAACUGUGGUCACUCCUCCUGUAUGGGGUCAGGGUCUUCCUCAGUCUGGGC